UACGUAGGUGGCAAGCGUUGUCCGGAAUUAUUGGGCGUAAAGCGCGCGCAGGCGGUCCUUUAAGUCUGAUGUGAAAGCCCACGGCUCAACCGUGGAGGGUCAUUGGAAACUGGGGGACUUGAGUACAGAAGAGGAAAGCGGAAUUCCACGUGUAGCGGUGAAAUGCGUAGAGAUGUGGAGGAACACCAGUGGCGAAGGCGGCCUUCUGGUCUGUAACUGACGCUGAGGCGCGAAAGCGUGGGGAGCAAACAGG
Molecule: ribosomal RNA, 253 nt
Filed under: uncultured bacterium
Lineage: Bacteria
Description: partial 16S ribosomal RNA
Rfam family: Bacterial small subunit ribosomal RNA
Source: RNAcentral